AAAUGAGAUAGAGGCGCGGAUGCGAUGACCCUCCGGGAGCCGGCAGGCUGAGAACGGAGGCAAGGCAAGUCCGCCGAACUCCUCGUCCGGGCGCGGGCGUGGGGUGGGUCCGCGGGGAAUACCCACGGGACUGUCUGCGGUUUUUCACUGCAGGGGCGCUAUCCGCUUA
RNAcentral lists this non-coding RNA (169 nucleotides) under Oscillibacter sp. CAG:155. Its description in RNAcentral is "Lysine riboswitch aptamer". It matches the Rfam family "Lysine riboswitch aptamer". From Rfam's summary of the family: Riboswitches are metabolite binding domains within certain messenger RNAs that serve as precision sensors for their corresponding targets. Allosteric rearrangement of mRNA structure is mediated by ligand binding, and this results in modulation of gene expression. Lineage: Bacteria; Bacillati; Bacillota; Clostridia; Eubacteriales; Oscillospiraceae. The record is from Rfam by way of RNAcentral. RNAcentral also lists the same sequence under 1 other name.